RNAcentral lists this ribosomal RNA (483 nucleotides) under uncultured bacterium. RNAcentral's name for it is "partial 16S ribosomal RNA". It matches the Rfam family "Bacterial small subunit ribosomal RNA", at positions 28 to 507 of the family's 1533-position model. The record is from RNAcentral.
GACGAACGCUGGCGGCGUGCCUAACACAUGCAAGUCGAGCGGGGAUUUAAGUGGAAGUUCUUCGGAAUGGAGAUUUAAAUUCUAGCGGCGGACGGGUGAGUAACGCGUGAACAAUCUGUCCCGGACAGGGGGAUAACACUUGGAAACAGGUGCUAAUACCGCAUAAGACCACGGCCUCGCAUGGGGCUGAGGUAAAAGGAGCAAUCCGGUUCGGGGUGAGUUCGCGUCCGAUUAGCUAGUUGGGGAGGUAACGGCCCACCAAGGCGACGAUCGGUAGCCGGCCUGAGAGGGUGAACGGCCACAUUGGAACUGAGAGACGGUCCAAACUCCUACGGGAGGCAGCAGUGGGGAAUAUUGGGCAAUGGGCGAAAGCCUGACCCAGCAACGCCGCGUGAGGGAAGAAGGUUUUCGGAUUGUAAACCUCUGUCCUAUGGGACGAAGGAAGUGACGGUACCAUAGGAGGAAGCCCCGGCUAACUACGUG